GAUGAACGCUGGCGGUCUGCUUAACACAUGCAAGUCGAACGAACUCUUCGGAGUGAGUGGCGGACGGGUGAGUAACGCGUGAGAAUCUGCCUGUGGGUCGGGACAACCACUGGAAACGUGGCUAAUACCGGAUGAGCCGAAAGGUAAAAGAUUUAUGCCCACAGAUGAGCUCGCGUCUGAUUAGCUAGUGAAGUAAACGUACCAAGGCACGAUCAGUAGCGGUUGAGAGGAUGAGCAGCCACACUGGGACUGAGACACGGCCCAGACUCCUACGGGAGGCAG
This 282-nucleotide ribosomal RNA is filed under the name uncultured bacterium. RNAcentral's name for it is "partial 16S ribosomal RNA". It matches the Rfam family "Bacterial small subunit ribosomal RNA", at positions 28 to 351 of the family's 1533-position model. The record is from RNAcentral.